This 8701-nucleotide long non-coding RNA is filed under the name Sorghum bicolor (sorghum). Its description in RNAcentral is "long non-coding RNA (SBIC_LNC017845)". The stretch from base 7561 to 7667 matches the Rfam family "Plant small nucleolar RNA R71". The record is from RNAcentral. Lineage: Eukaryota; Viridiplantae; Streptophyta; Magnoliopsida; Poales; Poaceae.
GUGGGAGAUAAAGUAUACAUACUUACAAGACAUUUAUUACAUAGUCAAACAAUGGAUCCAGAGAAACAAGUCAAUAAGUCAAAUCAAGAUGUGCAUGUGUGGUGAAUGAAUGGUGUAUGGUGAUGAUGGUGAUAACAAUGGUGAAAGUCUAAUUCUACUUUUGCUCUUUUGAGCGGAUACACACCUUCCUUGCACUUUGAAGCAUUUUGGGGAGAAUGAGAUGCUCUAUAUAUUUUUUUUUCUUUUCUCUCAGGUGGGUAUCUUGUACCCCUAAUUCUACUGUCGGACACUUGUCCAUUUUUACCUCUCGUCUCACUUUUUUCUUUUCUUCGAGGUUCCGGGCACUUGCUGUUGACACUAGCUAACACCACUUAGAUACUAGGUUGUCAUCCCUAGCAUGGCGCUAGAGUGUACAAAGGUAUUUAUAAAUGUAAAGGCUCUCUAGAAAAUAAUCUAUUCUAUCCGCAAGCGCACAGAUAAAACACCUCAUUGUAGCAUUUCACCAGGAUAAGUAUUCCAGGUAUCGUUAUUUAUAAUUUUGCUCUAGGGAUCUAAAGAAGAUGGAAUUAAAACAAAGGGGCAAAAUCUAUCAAGGCAUAGACUAGAGAUAAACUUGCAAGAACAUGAUUACUAAUGAGAAACUCGUCACACAGUCACUUACUUUAGCAGGGGGUAAACCAUAAAGAUAAUGAUAAUAAAGUAUAAGUUCAUGGGAUAAAGAGCACAGCGAUUAGAAAAUAGACUACUCCUCAUAUAUGUAGGUGAUGUCGGAUUAGCUAGAGAAUGGAUUCUAAGUUAUCUACUAACUACUAAGUCAUAAUCUACUCUAGUUAUCUACAAGAUCAUAUAUAGCAUAAAAGACUCUUCAUUCAUGUAUAAGGAACAUUGAUAAAGUAAAGCAGAACAUCGCAUGACUUACUCCACAAUACCGGUUCUGCCUGUCCUAUCAACGGAGGGUGGACUAUAUAAGAAUCAACGAAGCUGUCACUAUCGCGAACUACCACACGACUCGGCCAAUAGGAUACAUUUGCAGAUAAAUAACAUCUAAGCACCACGCUCACAUGUGAUCUAUCACCUAACUCCCUCGCGUCAAGAGCUAAGCGCUUUGCAAACUUAUACAUAAACUCAUUAUCAAUUAGAACUAUAUCAAAUAUAGAACUAGAGCAAACUAAGAACAUAAUAAUUAGAGACAUAAUGCAAUUAGAACAAUAGAAUUAGAGAAAGAUAUGAAUAAUACCAAUCUUUAUUACCGAAGAUCCGAAUCCAGAGCGUAGUGCUCUACUUCUCUAAAUGCUAUCUAAUCAACCUCUAAACUUGAAGGAUUAGGGAGUAUCUAAUUCUAAUUCUCUGUGGGAGAGAAGCUCUAAACCCUAACUUUGAUGGCUACCUCUGAAUAAUGAUUUCUCCUCCUCUCCUCCAGGGGCCAGGGGGUCUGGUUUUAUAGUCCCCUCAAGUGAACGUGAGCCAUUGGAUCAAACCGACAUAGAUUGUAUGGUUUAGAUUGAUCCUUUAGGUCGGUGGAGUCUUGCCCCGAAGCAGAGUCCUGAUUGGCCUCUUGGCCAGGGCGGGCGCCCAAGGGGGGUGGGCGGCCGCCCAGCUCCCGAGCCCGAUUCGCGUCCCGUUCGUUCCCGUGGCUUCUGGAUCCUUCUAGAUUGAGGAAAAUUGCGCGGCACGUAAUUAUCUCGUUGUAAACAUGACAUGUGGACCUUCUCUCCAUAUUUUCUGAUAAACCCCUGCAGAAAUAGAUAAACACCAAAGCUCGUGGAAUUCUGUCAGAUAAAACCCUAAUUCUAGAUGUUUGUUUCAUAUUGAUCCUUUUUCAUGUUUAUUUGAUUAUUAAUUUUAGUACUUAAGGACCGUCAACAAACUCCCCCAAGCUUACCCUUUGCUCGUCCCUGAGCAAAUAGCUGAACUUAGACGGAUCAGGAGUUGCUUCAAUGUUUUCUUUCCUGAGAGGCACACAUGCUUUUACAUAAAAAUUCUUCCAGAUUAGAGUGAAGUGUUAUGGAGUUUAGUACCUGCGAUCCUUGUUCAUGUUUAUUUGAUUAUUAAUUUUAGUACUUAAGGACCGUCAACAAACUCCCCCAAGCUUACCCUUUGCUCGUCCCUGAGCAAAUAGCUGAACUUAGACGGAUCAGGAGUUGCUUCAAUGUUUUCUUUCCUGAGAGGCACACAUGCUUUUACAUAAAAAUUCUUCCAGAUUAGAGUGAAGUGUUAUGGAGUUUAGUACCUGCACUUAAAUCUUAAGUAAUCAAAAGACAAAAUAGUUAAGUCAAGCACUAUCCCUCUUGUCUAUACUUCACCUUUGUUCUAGAGUUUUUCAUAAGUUUUCAAAAUAAAACUCAGAGUUCCCAGCAAUGAUCUCUCAAGUCUCUCUAUAUGUGGUAUUUGUGGAUCCUUACCAUAAUGUCACUUACCUAUAGCUAAUAGAAUAUUUAAGUGGAGCUCAUAGGAGUGGAAAACAGCUCAUACAUAUGUUGUCUAAUCGAUCCAUGGAUCCAAAGGAACUCAGCAUAUAAUUAAAUCAAGAUGUGCAUGUGUGGUGGAGUAAAUGAUAGUGAAAAUGCAUAAGUGAUAAUAAAACUUAGUUCUCAUUGCUCCUUAUAUUGCUAUCUCUCCUUCUCUUUGAUCUUUGCCUUGGGAGAACAUGGGUUAUCUUUUUCUUUUCUUUUCUCUUUCUUUUUUUUUCAGGUGGGUAGUAGAUACCCCUAAUUCUACUGUCGGACACUUGUCCAUUUUUUCCGCUCAAGUGGGCAUCUUUGUACCCCUAAUUCUACUUCGGACACUUGUCCAUUUUUACCUCUCGUCUCACUCUUUUUCUUUCUUUUCCGAGGUUUUCGGGCACUUGCCCCUUUUUAUUUCCUCGUAUAUUUUUGCAUAACCCAUGCCUCUUCUGCAUUGAAUCUUUUUAGAGAGAGAGAGAAUAACAAUACUUGGGAUAGUGAGUGAUAAUAUUUUUAGCAAUUUUAAUGAAUGGUGGUGGAUGCUGUGGUAGAUGUGUGCAAGUGAAUAUCUUAAUUUAACCACAUAAAAAGCUCCUAAGGGUCGACACAGCUCGAUCAAACUCAAUGUAAAUAUAGUAAAAGAUGUUAUAGCAAGUAUGGCUGUGGUAGGUAAUUUUGUUAUGCUAGGAACUCAUCAUGUGAUUUGUAAGUUUUCAAAAUAAAUCUCCAGAACUUGGUGUAGUAGGAACAAGAUAAAGAGUAGCUCAACUUUAUAUCAUGCCUUUCUCUUACCUAGACUUUAGUUUUAUGCUUCCCAAAGAUAGUAAAUUCAGUUUUAGUAAUUCCUGGAAGAACUCUAAUGUAAAAGCUAGGUACUUGUAAGUAAGCAAAUAGAGCAACUGUUCAUCAUUUCUAUCAUGCAUCUUUUUGGUCUUUUUUUGUUUUUUCUAGAGAUUAAACUUAGCAAGAAAAUAAAGCACACUUAUCUACACACUCUUUUUAUUUUGUUUUCAUGUUUAUAAAGUGCAGUAAAUUAAAGUAAGAAAAUAUUUAUUUGGUUUUCUAAGUUUUCCUUUUAAGAUAAAUAAAAUACUAAGACAGAAUAGAAUAAAUAAGAAGAGCAAAUAAAAACUUACUUGAUAAAUUAGGGAGGAACUCCCCCAAGCUGGAUGUUGACGUGGGUCUUACCCGAUGUUCCAGAACCGCAUCAUGGUUGUGAUGUUAUCGUUCAUUGUUGUUGUAUCUUUUCUCAGCUCUUGUACCGUAGCGGCAUGGUCCUGGUUCCAUUUUUGUUGCUCUUCCAGGAGUCUUCCAUGUUCUGCUUGCGUGUUCUGGAUGAAGAGGAGGGUGUUGUCGGUACGAGUGAAGAAAGCACCGGCCUCUUGAUAGUAGUCAUUCGUGAAGGCGUAGGAGGCGUCGGAGUAUCGUCCUGCAUCAAAUUGGGGCGGAGGUCUGGAUCCUGAGGCUCCAUAUGGAUCAGUGGAGUACCUGCCCGUAUGAAAAGGCGGGUUUGUCCACUGGUGAUCUUGGCUCUCCGGCCAUGUCUCCUCUGUUGGCUCCUGUGGUUGCGCAUGCCGAACCCAUGGGUCUCGAAGGACUCGAGGGUUGUAAUCGCAAUAAUGCAGGUGCGCUGCUUCUUCUGGUCCAGGGUCAGCUCCAUACCAAGUGCGUUCUCAGUGAGUGGUUAUCCUCUUAGAUGCCACUUGCUGUGGAGUUCUCUGGUUCACUGGUGUUGCUGCAAUCUCAAUCAAAAAGUUUUGAACAACGUAGAGGCCAAGGUUCGGGUUAGAUAACCGAAUCUUGCCUUUAUCAUCAUACAGCAUAUACAUUAUAUUCCCCUCUUUCUUUAACAUCCGAGCUUGUCUAAAUGUGUCAUAGCCAUGAUAAAUUCUUAAUUCUUCUAUGAAGUCCAACGAUGAGUUUUCUAGUAAGUGAAGAUUAGUGGCUAGACGAGUGAUAAGUGAAGUACAUCCUACUGGUCCCUGAAGACUAGGUAUACUAAGCCAAUGUGAAACUAAUAGUGUAACAGGUGAAGUAGGUAUUUUACUAAUAGUAGCAUAUAAAAGUUGUAAAUCUCCUACUCUUACUUUCCUAAUAUCAUCGCGAUAGAAAAGAUUGUACCCAAGCCAUUUGUGGAACAUCCUAAGAGUGGGGUGUUCCAUGUCACUGGUUCGGGCUUGACUGUAAAAAUUAUCUCUAGAUAUUUCUCUCCAAAACUGGUGUCUCUCAAAAUUAUUGGGUAAAUCAGAGUCAAUGUUCAGGAUGCAUCUUGAAGAGAAACCAAGAUGGUCGCUCAGCUCUCUCCAAGAUAACAUAAUUUCCUGUUUAAACAUCCGAAAAACAAUUCCCCCCUCAUAGUAUUGUAAAGUGCAAAGAAAUUCGAGGGUGAGAAGACGAGAACCCAGCUCAGUUAUAUUCCAAAAAUUUGUCCAACCCAUCAUCUGAAAAAUUAAGUCAAAUUCAGUGUCCAUACCUGUUUCUCGUAGUAGGAUUGGAUCGAUAGUAGGGGUGUGAAUGAAAUCCUUGUUCUUCAAUUGCUGAUAAACUUCCUUCUCUCUUCAGGUCUUCAGUCCAAGGUCUCCUAUCUUGAGAAGGACCUUGACUUGCUGGCCUGAUGAAGAUGAUGGAGCUUGUGUGGGUGUCGGGUCGACGCUCAUCUCUGAUGGCUGUGAGGAGUGUCGGGUUGAACUCCUUGUACCAAUGUUCUUGAGAGCCUUCCCUGCAUUCUUCACCUUCUUAAACAUCCUGCAAACAAAAGUUGGCAAAAACACAACUGGUGGAAAAUGUGAGAGAAAAUGUUAGUGGUCAGCUGUCCGAGUGUCAGUAGUCCAGGGGUUAAUCGUUCAAGACAAGUUUCUAUUUUGGUAGAGCCUCCCCCUAAACAACUUUUACUUCCGCUUGGACAACGGGAUCACUACUUGCUAGGUGACAAUCACUCUCUCAAAAGAACUCCAACCUUCCUUCCACUCUCCUCUUUCUCUCUACUCUCUUCUCUUCACUACAAGAACUCCUUCUCGGGAAACUGAAACUUGUGUGGUUUUCUGGAGUGUUUGUGUGAAGAGAAGGGGAGCUGGAGGUGGCCUUUUAUAGGCUGAGCAGGGGACAGGGCGGGCGCCCUUGGUAGGUGGGCGGGCGCCCACUCCUGGUGUCCAUCCUAGGUGUGCCUCCUCCACAUGCUUCCUUGCUUUGAUCUCACGCAGAAUAAUAUUGUGUUGGUAGUGGUUGGACGGUGGAAAGAUGUCAGGUGAGUGGAAACAUAUUGGUGGAUGAAAUUAUGUGAUGGGAUGUAUGUGAGAUGAAGUGUAUGACAUGUGGGACCCAAAGAGUGUGGGUCAUGCUUCUAGAAGAUAAAUAUGAUUAAAUAUAAUGCAGGAAAAUCUAUGAGAAUCGAAAUUUAUUGAAAAUGAUAUUGAAAAAUAUUUUUGUGCCUCCAUAAUAAUUAAUAAUAUGGGUUGUUACACACCACGAAUAUUAUUUAUAUGGGGCUUUUUGAUUAUUAUAAUUAUGCUAUGACUAAUGCAAGAAUUAAUUAUGCAAGAAUUUAAAUAUGAGAAAAUUAAUAAUGCGGAUAAUUACCGAUUUACCUCCCGGUGAGGGUUUGGGAUUUUUAGGUCCCCCAAGCUGGACCUCCAAAUCUUUUAAUCUUUUGAGUUACCUUCCUCCGGAGAUGGUGUCUCCGGUGGUUCUUCAUGAACUUCUUUCACUGUAGAGUCUCUCUCUGGUCUGGGUUUGAAUGUGAAGUGUUCUUCUUGACCGUUUAUGUUGAACUUAAUUUCUCCCUUCCCGACAUCAAUGUGGGCAUUGGCAGUGCUAAGAAAUGGCCUUCCAAGGAUGAUGGAUAAUUUUGAGUCAGGACUCAUGUCCAGUACUACGAAGUCUACUGGCACAAGGAAAUCUCUGAUCUUGACUGGAAUGUUCUUGGCGAUGCCCAACGGGUGUCGAACCGAUUGAUCCGCUAGUUGUAGACACAUUGAUGUUGGUUCUAAGGCUGCAUGAUCAAGCUUUUUGUAGACUGAUGCUGGCAUCACACUGACACUUGCUCCUAGAUCACAAAGUGCAUUGUUGAAGUGUUGGUUUCCGAUCGAGCAAUCAAUAGUGGGGCAUCCUGGAUCUUCCUUCUUCUUUGGUGGUUUGUUGAGGAUGGCCGCACUACAUUCUUCUGUCAGCUUGAUAACCUCAGUGGUGGGCAGUGGCCUCUUCUUGUUAAGAAUAUCUCUGAUGUACUUUGCAUAUGUAGGUACCUGUAUGGCAUCGAGCAGAGGUAUGUUGACAUAUAAUUUCUGAAUGACCUCUACAAACUUACCAAACUGCUCAUCCGACUGCAGUCCUCUGUUUCUUCUGGGAAAUGGCAAAUAGUUGGUGUCGUAUAAAUCUUUCCUCAUUUCUCCAGUUCUUGGUGGUUGUAGCAGAUCUUCUGCUUCAACUGGGCUUUCUUCUUCUAUCACUGCUGGUUGCACUGGUGCUGAUGUUCUUUGUUUCUCUUUUGGGUAUGGUGGAUCUCUGGUAGCUUUACCUCCUCUAGUAGUUAUAUUCUUUACCUGCUCAAGGUUAGUAGCAACAGGCAGUGCAGCAGCUAUCUUUAUUAAUUUAAGCUCUACCCUUUUAUUAAGAGUGUUUUGCUCAUCAAAGGCAGUUAGUAGAAAAUCCAUUUUAUUAUAUAUAUCUUUUAGAGAUGAUUCAUUUGUAUCUAGCCUUUGUUUAACUUCAUCAUUAAUUUUGGUUUGUUGAGCAAUUAUCUCUUUUAAUGAAAGUUGCUUGAAAGUAUUACCUGAAUUCAUACCUUUGCUAUUGGGUUGACUCGAAGUUGGUUGAUAUUUGUAUGCUGUCUCAAUGGCCCUGUGAUCUUCUUUGAACUUGGCCCUCUGGUCAAUCCAAUGGAGCAAAUUUUCCAUCUUAGUUGAUAAUGCAUUUACUUCUUCUGGUAUUUCUUCAGUUUGAUGACAUUGUUGAGCUUUAUCUUGGAACCAGCUUUGAUUUUCUGCUAUCUUAUCCAAAAGUAUCUCUGCUUUUCCAGUUGUAAGCUCCAAGAAUGAUCCUUUAGCAGAUGCAUCUAGGCACUCACGAGUCUUCUGGGUUAAUCCAUGGUAGAAGGUCUGCAUAAGUUACCAUGUGGCCAUUCCAUGGUGAGGACAAUCUGAUAUGUAUCCCUGAAAACGCUCCCAUGCUUCUGAAAUGGCUUCUGUCUUCUGCUGUUGGAAACUGACAAUAUUUCCUCUUAAGGCAGUUGUUUUGCCUAUAGGGAAAAACUUUGAUAGAAAGACAUCUGACAAGUUCGUCCAGUUGUUGAUGUUAUCUUGAUGAGUGUAGAACCACUUCCUCGCUUUUCCUUCUAGUGAGAAUGGAAAAAGGCGAAGCAGUAUGACGUCUUUGUCAACUCCAUUGAUGUGGAUUGUGCUUCCAAUCUCUAAGAAAUUCUGCAAGUGUGCACUGGCAUCUUCAUGUGCCUUUCCACUGAAUUGUGUAGCUUGUACCAAAUUGAUGAGGCUUGACUUGAGCUCAAACUCAGGUAUUCCUUCUUCUACUGCAAAUCUUGGACCGGUUGGAAUGUUGUCAAGACUUGGAGCAGAGAAUUCUUGCAAGGUCUUUUGUGCCAUAGCUUCAGCAAUUGGUAGCUAGCUUCUUCUUCUCUUGAUUGCUUUGGUUCUGAUGAUGAAAAGUUGAAUGUACCCAAAGUCAAUCCUGUUAUACCCUGUAUAAAAAUAUAAACAUAGAAAAACAACAGGGUGAACCUGCCAAAGUAGCGGUGCCUUGUUAUGAUUUCUCACUUAGUAGCUGUUUUUAUGCAAUUAUUUCUCUAUAGUCUAGUCUAAUAUUUUAUAUGAAUAACCUUGAUUGAUUUUCUGGCUUCCUUAAUAUUACCCUUUUGUUCCCUUUUAUGACUUAUUCCUGAGACUCGUAUGACUUCUAUAAUGAUCCCCGGCAACGGCGCCAGAAAUGCUUGUUGACACUAGCUAACACCACUUAGAUACUAGGUUGUCAUCCCUAGCAUGGCGCCAGAGUGUACAAAGGUAUUUAUAAAUGUAAAGGCUCUCUAGAAAAUAAUCUAUUCUAUCCGCAAGCACACAGAUAAAACACCUCAUUGUAGCAUUUCACCAGGAUAAGUAUUUCAGGUAUCGUUAUUUAUAAUUUUGCUCUAGGGAUCUAAAGAAGAUGGAAUUAAAACAAAGGGGCAAAAUCUAUCAAGGCAUAGACUAGAGAUAAACUUGCAAGAACAUGAUUACUAAUGAGAAACUCGUCACACAGUCACUUACUUUAGC